GACGAACGCUGGCGGCGUGCUUAACACAUGCAAGUCGAACGGAAAGGCCCUGCUUUUGUGGGGUGCUCGAGUGGCGAACGGGUGAGUAACACGUGAGUAACCUGCCCUUGACUUUGGGUUAACUUCAGGAAACUGGGGCUAUUACCGGAUAGGAGCUCCUGCUGCAUGGUGGGGGUGGGAAAGUUUCGGCGGUUGGGGAUGGACUCGCGGCUUAUCAGCUUGUUGGUGGGGUAGUGGCUUACCAAGGCUUUGACGGGUAGCCGGCCUGAGAGGGUGACCGGCCACAUUGGGACUGAGAUACGGCCCAGACUCCUACGGGAGGCAGCAGUGGGGAAUAUUGCACAAUGGGCGGAAGCCUGAUGCAGCAACGCCGCGUGCGGGAUGACGGCCUUCGGGUUGUAAACCGCUUUCGCCUGUGACGAAGCGUGAGUGACGGUAAUGGGUAAAGAAGCACCGGCUAACUACGUG
Molecule: ribosomal RNA, 468 nt
Filed under: uncultured bacterium
Lineage: Bacteria
Description: partial 16S ribosomal RNA
Rfam family: Bacterial small subunit ribosomal RNA
Source: RNAcentral